GUCCGAGCCUUCCUGCUUGGGGGCGAGGCGGAGGCGGGGGCGCGGGCCGGGGGGCGCGGAGCGGCAGGGCCGGCGGUAGGGAGGGUGUGGAGAGACAAAGCGCACAGACUUCGGAAUGGAGCCUUUAAAUGCCCUUGUGUCUAAUGAUACUGGAAAAGGUCAGCAUCUGCAGACUAAACCGAAUGCAAGUGUGGAGGGUAGGGAGUCCACGCCUGCGACCGCUUUUCUGCGUGCAUCAGAGCUAGAGCGGCCAACAAACAACCUCAGGGCGGGGCUUCAUGGUCAGCAUAAUCUCAUCUCGGCGUUGCCGAGGGAUGCGGGCAGAUGGACAUGAGCCGUUCCAGGGGACUGCAGUCAAGAGAGUGGAGAGCACUGGUCCACCUGCAAAUUAAUCCUGCAACAAACUCGUAGUUUCCAUCCUAGUUGGUUCCACAGCCAAGCCCAUAGUUAGUUACACAAGCGCUAGUGGGACAGGACCACCACUUGCCACAGUAGCACUGUGGAUUUAGAUGGAAUUAAGUCAAUCAGGAAAUUACACCUUGAGAAAUGGUGCUGAUGCAGCCUCAAGAUAAGCGAAGAUAAAGUUUUCUGAGCUCUGUACUACUUUCUAAGCAGUGUGUUUUGGAAUUCAGAAAUUGUCUCUUGGAAAUUGUUCUUAGUGCUGUGGAAAGAGGUACUUGGAUAUGCAUUUAGUAAAUAAUUUUAAAAGCUGUUCUUAAAACAAUUUUCCUGUAUGUACUCUGUCUUUAUACAGACACAUGCAACAUCAUCCAAAAUACUGACUUACUACUGGGCUUGAGAAAAAUAAAAAUAUUUUACAAGGUA
Myiozetetes cayanensis is the source of this 825-nucleotide long non-coding RNA. RefSeq lists it as uncharacterized. The record is from RefSeq and is a predicted model, not a curated record. NCBI's taxonomy places the organism in Eukaryota, Metazoa, Chordata, Aves, Passeriformes, Tyrannidae. The transcript is spliced from 2 exons.